Molecule: long non-coding RNA, 201 nt
Filed under: Carica papaya (papaya)
Lineage: Eukaryota; Viridiplantae; Streptophyta; Magnoliopsida; Brassicales; Caricaceae
Description: long non-coding RNA (CPAP_LNC000833)
Source: RNAcentral
GAAGCUUUCUGCAGGAUCUCAACAUAAACCCUAAAGUUGAGAACUUGUAGAAAUGCAUUGUGACAAUACUACUGCUAUCCAAUAUGCUCAGGAUCUGAAAUUUCAUAAGAAAAUCUAACAUAUUAAGAGGCAUUAUCACUUUUUUCGAGGUACCAUAAAAAACGAGAAAAUUGCUCUUAAGUAUAUAUCCACUAACAAAAU